AGUGAACGCUGGCGGUAGGCCUAACACAUGCAAGUUGAACGGCAGCACAGUAAGAGCUUGCUCUUACGGGUGGCGAGUGGCGGACGGGUGAGGAAUACAUCGGAAUCUACUUUUUCGUGGGGGAUAACGUAGGGAAACUUACGCUAAUACCGCAUACGACCUACGGGUGAAAGCAGGGGAUCUUCGGACCUUGCGCGAUUGAAUGAGCCGAUGUCGGAUUAGCUAGUUGGCGGGGUAAAGGCCCACCAAGGCGACGAUCCGUAGCUGGUCUGAGAGGAUGAUCAGCCACACUGGAACUGAGACACGGUCCAGACUCCUACGGGAGGCAGCAGUGGGGAAUAUUGGACAAUGGGCGCAAGCCUGAUCCAGCCAUACCGCGUGGGUGAAGAAGGCCUUCGGGUUGUAAAGCCCUUUUGUUGGGAAAGAAAAGCAGCAGGUUAAUACCCCGCUGUUCGGACGGUACCCAAAGAAUAAGCACCGGCUAACUUCGU
This 491-nucleotide ribosomal RNA is filed under the name uncultured bacterium. RNAcentral describes it as "partial 16S ribosomal RNA". It matches the Rfam family "Bacterial small subunit ribosomal RNA", at positions 29 to 506 of the family's 1533-position model. The record is from RNAcentral.